This 453-nucleotide ribosomal RNA is filed under the name uncultured organism. RNAcentral describes it as "partial 16S ribosomal RNA". It matches the Rfam family "Bacterial small subunit ribosomal RNA", at positions 334 to 804 of the family's 1533-position model. The record is from RNAcentral.
CACUCCUACGGGAGGCAGCAGUGGGGAAUUUUACGCAAUGGGGGAAACCCUGACGUAGCGACACCGCGUGAGCGAAGAAGCCCUUUGGGGUGUAAAGCUCUGUCAGCUGGAACGAAAACAAUGACGGUACCAGCAGAGGAAGCAUCGGCUAACUACGUGCCAGCAGCCGCGGUAAGACGUAGGAUGCGAGCGUUGUCCGGAUUUAUUGGGCGUAAAGAGUUCGUAGGUGGUUUGUUAAGUUUGGUGUUAAAGAUCGGGGCUCAACCCUGGGACUGCACUGAAUACUGGCAGACUCGAGUGUGGUAGAGGCUAGUGGAAUUCCCAGUGUAGCGGUGAAAUGCGUAGAUAUUGGGAAGAACACCGGUGGCGUAGGCGACUAGCUGGGCCAUAACUGACGCUGAGGAACGAAAGCCAGGGGAGCGAAUGGGAUUAGAAACCCCUGUAGUCCCAUGA